This 1253-nucleotide long non-coding RNA is filed under the name Capra hircus (goat). RNAcentral's name for it is "lncRNA (ENSCHIG00010011942.1)". The record is from RNAcentral. Lineage: Eukaryota; Metazoa; Chordata; Mammalia; Artiodactyla; Bovidae.
CAUCCCCCAAGACAAUACCAGCUCCACGCCCCCACUCCCCCCGACCCCGUCAUCACUGAUCUUACGGGGUACUUGAAGCUCGCCCAGGCCCUCACCAGCAGGCAGGUCAUCAUGGCCUCCUAGCAGCCUGCCCCAGCAAGGAACAGAUUAGGAGUCCUGAUUUAAAGAGGAAACGGACUCAAGAGAGGUUGAGUGACCUGCCCCCGGCCACACGGGAAGAGCUGUCCUUUUAAGACUUCUGCCAAAGGGGCCUUGGUCCGUGGGCUGAGGUUCUCUGCAACUCAGAAGUAAGAAUGGGGAGGGGAGGACCUCUAUUUCUGAUCUAGCCAGAGCUGAGGGCCUCUGGUCUACCCUGGGAGGUCCGGCUCCAUGGGUUAUGCCCCACCUUUGAAAAGGGAGAGGAGGAAGAAGGCGUUGUGGGCACCACCCCAAAGUGAUUUGGAGAAGGGAAACAUUUCCUCUUUCCACAGACACUACCCCUCAAAGGGUGGUCAGGCCUGCACUGGCACAUCCCCAUGGGCACAGGGCCCUUGGCAUGGGCACACACUAUGUCUCAGGUCUGGGCCAGCCUAGAGGACAGGCUUCCGUCCCGGAGUCCCCUCCCCCAGCCCAUGCUGGGAUCUGGCCCUGAGGGGGUCUGUACACUACCAGUGCUUCGAGAUAAAAGGUGAGGGGGCCCCAUUUUCAUUCAAAACUCCAUCCAACAGUCUUUCGGCUGACUCUGCAUUUUGGACCCCAGGAAGGGCACUGCUAGCAGUUCCCCCGCCCCCUGGGCUCUCUCUCCUAUUGUCCAGGGAAAGAGUGGGCAGGAGAGGGAGUGGCAGAGGAGAGGAAGUCUCCCCAGGCUCCCCCAGACCAUAGAGCCGCUCCCCCGUUUCUAGGCAUAGAUAGCAAAUGUGUGGAUGGAAACGAAAAGUCUGGACCCGGUCUUUCGGGGCUCCCAUCCCCAGUUCCUCUCCCCGUGGCUUCCAGCUUCCCUGCCCCCACUCCACAAAUGGAAACAAAAUAAGAAUAAGAAUGUGGCUUUUACACUCGGUUCCUCCAGUGUCUGUCUGGAGAUGGGGGGAGGCUGGCCCGCUGAGCUCUGCAAACUCCCGGGGCUGCAGUGGGCUGAUUCGGGGGCGGGGACGGGCGGGGGGCGGACAGAAAGAGGAAUCAAUAAGUGAACACCUCCCUCCAGGUCCUUGGUCAGAGAAGUGGCCACAAGUGCCCCCACAGGACUUCCCACUAUAAGGGGAAGUGCCCACUCCCAG